RNAcentral lists this unclassified non-coding RNA (588 nucleotides) under Hevea brasiliensis (rubber tree). Lineage: Eukaryota; Viridiplantae; Streptophyta; Magnoliopsida; Malpighiales; Euphorbiaceae. The record is from RNAcentral.
AGAAUUUGAACAUAAAACAACAGAGAGCUAAACUGGGAAUCUGAGAUCUCAGUUCACAGAACUCAGAACCCAGUUCAAGCUUUUUACCUUAUACCCACUUCCACUGAAAAUUUUCCUCCUUCUCCAUUUCUCCUUCCCUGCAAAACCCUAAACCCCCUCCCCAACAGCUCUUUUUUUUCUUUCAAAACUUUCACAAAUCAUGGAUGAAUCUUUCUUGCUAAUGCUAUCAAAUCUCCUUCACCUCCACAACACUUUGGACCCAACAACUUCCCUUAUUUCCUCCCCUUCCACUCCCUCUGUUUCCUUUCCUUCUCUUUCCUCUCCUUCUCCUUCCUCCCUUCUCUCUUCCUCCUCCGCCGCUCCUCUCCUGUUCUUCACCCUCGCCUCCCUCCUUUCCUUCCUCGCUUCCUCCAAACCCCGCAAGCAAAAUCCCGACACCACCACUAAUUGCAACAAUAUUACUAAUCCUUCUGAUAAUUCUGUCCCUCCUACCGCCUCUGACAAUUCUGCUCUGCCUGAUACGGCCGCUUUCUCCGUCGCUGCCUUUCGCGCACUCUCUACCGAACACAUCUGGUCCUUGGAAGCCCC